UACGUAGGGUGCAGGCGUUAUUCGGAUUUACUGGGCGUAAAGCGUGCGCAGGCGGUUUCUUAAGUCAGAUGUGAAAGCCCCGGGCUUAACCUGGGAACUGCGUUUGAAACUGGGAGACUUGAGUGUGGCAGAGGGGGGUGGAAUUCCACGUGUAGCAGUGAAAUGCGUAGAUAUGUGGAGGAACACCGAUGGCGAAGGCAGCCCCCUGGGUUAACACUGACGCUCAUGCACGAAAGCGUGGGGAGCAAACAGG
Molecule: ribosomal RNA, 253 nt
Filed under: uncultured bacterium
Lineage: Bacteria
Description: partial 16S ribosomal RNA
Rfam family: Bacterial small subunit ribosomal RNA
Source: RNAcentral